AAAAUAUUGGGUUGGCCAAAAAGUUUAUUUGGGUUUUUUUUGUAAGAUGAUAUGGAAAAGUCCAAGUGAACUUUUUGGCUAAUCCAGUAUUU
Molecule: microRNA precursor, 92 nt
Filed under: Bos taurus (domestic cattle)
Lineage: Eukaryota; Metazoa; Chordata; Mammalia; Artiodactyla; Bovidae
Description: microRNA bta-mir-2285ag precursor
Source: miRBase by way of RNAcentral